RNAcentral lists this non-coding RNA (21 nucleotides) under Arabidopsis thaliana (thale cress). Lineage: Eukaryota; Viridiplantae; Streptophyta; Magnoliopsida; Brassicales; Brassicaceae. The record is from RNAcentral.
UCAUAAAUUCAGGAGACACAC